AGCGAACGUUUGCGGCGGGCCUAACACAUGCAAGUCGAACGCACUAGCAAUAGUGAGUGGCGCACGGGUGCGUAACACGUGGGUAAUCAACCCUUCAGCUUGGGAUAACGACUUGAAAGGGUCGCUAAUACCGGAUACGGCGAGAGAGGCUUCGGCAUUUCUCGAGAAAGCCUCGCAAGGGGCACUGAAGGACGAGCCUGCGGCCCAUCAGCUAGUUGGUGAGGUAAGAGCUCACCAAGGCGAAGACGGGUAGCUGGUCUGAGAGGAUGAUCAGCCACACUGGAACUGAGACACGGUCCAGACUCCUACGGGAGGCAGCAGUGGGGAAUAUUGCGCAAUGGACGAAAGUCUGACGCAGCCACGCCGCGUGAGUGAGGAAGGCCUUCGGGUU
RNAcentral lists this ribosomal RNA (391 nucleotides) under uncultured bacterium. RNAcentral's name for it is "bacterial SSU rRNA". It matches the Rfam family "Bacterial small subunit ribosomal RNA", at positions 29 to 424 of the family's 1533-position model. The record is from RNAcentral.